RNAcentral lists this transfer RNA (61 nucleotides) under Cylindrus obtusus. RNAcentral describes it as "tRNA-Val". The record is from RNAcentral. Lineage: Eukaryota; Metazoa; Mollusca; Gastropoda; Stylommatophora; Helicidae.
AUAGGUUUAGUAUAAAUAAUACGAAACGCUUACAACGUUGCUAUCGCUACGCGGGCCUAUU